CUCUGACAUUGGAGGACUCCUCGGCUACGUCCUGGACUCCUGCACAAGAGGACUCCUGCCCUGCCACACCCUGGACACCUGCACUAGAGAACCCUGCCCCGUCGCCCCCUAGACUAUGGCACGGGAGGACCCUUGCCACCGACUUCGGCACGGUAAGACCCCUGACCCGCCUUGCACUGGAUUCCAGCACUGGAGGACCCCCUGCCACGGCGCUCUCUGGACUACCCCUGCGCCACCGCGUCCUGCACUACAGCACAGCAGGACCGCCGUCCCACCGCGCACUGGACUGAGGCACAGCAGGACCACCACUCCCACAUGCCCUGGACCACUGCAGGACAGGUCCCCCACUCCGCCGCGCCCUGGAAUAUGGCACUGGAGGACCCCCGUCCUGCCGCUCCGCGGACUCCACCACCGAAGACCCUCGCCCCCCUGCGCCCUGGACAAAGGCACGGGAGGACCCGGCUUCACCGACCCGUGGGCUAUCGCAUAGGAAAACCCCCACCUCCACCCCCACCCCGCGCCAGAGACUCUGACAAGAGAGGACCCCUGCCCCCUGCUCCCCGGACUACAGCAAGGCAGGAACCACCUUCCUCCAAGAUCCUCACUAUGGCAACUGUGGACCCCCGCCCUGGUACGCCCUGGACUAAGUCACCAAAGGACCCCGACCCCACAACGCCGUGAACUCCAGCAUUGGAGGACCAUUGCCUUACUGCGGACUCAAGCACUGGACUAUCGCAGGGCAGGAUCCCUGUCCCGCCAUGCCCUACACUAUGGCACGGGAGGACCCAGCCUCACUGUGCUCUGGACUCCAGCACCGGAGGACUCCUACACGGAGGACUCCGGCUCUGCCACGUCCUGGACUCCUGAACAAGAGAACCCCCGCCCCGCUGCACCUUGGAUAUAGCAAGGCAGGAAUCCCGCCCUGUCGCGCUCUGGACUGUGGCACCUGAGGAUCCACGCCCCAGCGCGCCCUGGACUACUGCUCCGCAGGACUCCUGUUCCACCGCACCCUGGACUAUGGCACCAGAGGACCCAGCUCCCCGCGACCGGGACUAAGGCACCAGAGGACCCAGCCCCCUGGCGUCUUGGACUAUGGCGCCAGAGGACCCAGCCCCUCGCAUCCUGGACUAUGGCACCAGAGGACCCAGCCUCCCUGCGUCAUGGACUAUGGCACCAGAGGACCCAGCCCCUCGCGCCCUGGACUAUGGCAGCAGAGGACCCAGCCCCUCGCAUCCUGGACUAUGGCAGCAGAGGACCCAGCCUCCCUGCGUCAUGGACUAAGGCACCAGAGGACCCAGCCCCCUCGGGCCCUGGACUAUGGCAGCAGAGGACCCAGCCCCUCGCAUCCUGGACUAUGGCACCAGAGGACCCAGCCUCCCUGCGUCAUGGACUAUGGCACCAGAGGACCCAGCCCCUCGCGCCCUGGACUAUGGCAGCAGAGGACCCAGCCCCCUGGCGUCCUGGACUAAGGCACAGUAGGACCCCGCAGCAUCGUGUACUCCUGCACAGGAGGACCCUCGCAGGGCUGCGUCCUGGACUGAGCUACUGAAGGAGCCUCACCCCUGCCUCACCCUGGACUAAGGCACUGGAGAACUCUUGCUCUGCAGAGCCGCGGACUCUUGCAGGAGAGAACCUGCGCCCAGCCGUGCCCUGGACUGUGGCACAGCAGGGCCCACACCGCGCCAUGGACUCCUGUACUGGAGGAAGAGUAGUGACAAAUGUCCAGGUUUACAAGUUGAAAAGUAGCAAUCAAUGUGUUACAAUGGAUGGAUUUGAUGUAAAAUUACAAAUGCUGAAAACAUUAUGUGUAAUUGCCUAGCCAGAUCAAUUACACAAGAC
RNAcentral lists this long non-coding RNA (1839 nucleotides) under Homo sapiens (human). RNAcentral describes it as "HSALNT0402873". The record is from RNAcentral. Lineage: Eukaryota; Metazoa; Chordata; Mammalia; Primates; Hominidae.